AGUGAACGCUGGCGGUAGGCCUAACACAUGCAAGUCGAACGGCAGCACAGUAAGAGCUUGCUCUUACGGGUGGCGAGUGGCGGACGGGUGAGGAAUACAUCGGAAUCUACUUUUUCGUGGGGGAUCACGUAGGGAAACUUACGCUCAUACCGCAUACGACCUACGGGUGAAAGCAGGGGAUCUUCGGACCUUGCGCGAUUGAAUGAGCCGAUGUCGGAUUAGCUAGUUGGCGGGGUAAAGGCCCACCAAGGCGACGAUCCGUAGCUGGUCUGAGAGAAUGAUCAGCCACACUGGAACUGAGACAUGGUCCAGAGUCAUACGGGAGGCAGCAGUGGGGAAUAUUGGACAGUUGGCGGAAGCAUGACCCAGCCAGACCGCGUGGGAGAAGAAGGCCUUCGGGUUGUAAAGCCCUUUUGUUGGGAAAGAAAAGCAGCAGGUUAAUACCCCGCUGUUCCGACGGUACCCAAAGAAUAAGCACCGGCUAACUUCGUG
RNAcentral lists this ribosomal RNA (492 nucleotides) under uncultured bacterium. RNAcentral's name for it is "partial 16S ribosomal RNA". It matches the Rfam family "Bacterial small subunit ribosomal RNA", at positions 29 to 507 of the family's 1533-position model. The record is from RNAcentral.